AGUGAACGCUGGCGGCAGGCCUAAUACAUGCAAGUCGAACGGAAACACAGUAAGAUUGUGCCUUUACGGGUGGCGACUGGCGGGUGGGUGACAAGUAGAUAGGCAACUUCUUAUUCGGGGGGGACUACGUGGGGAAACAUAUGCUAAUACCGCAUACGACGUACGGGAGAGAGCAAUGGUUCUUGGCGGUUUGCGCGUCUGAAUGAGCUGAUGUCGGAUUAGCUAGUUGGCGGGGUAAGGGCCUACCAAGGCGACGAUCCGUAGCUGGUCUGAGAGGAUGAUCGGCCACACUGGAACUGAGACACGGUCCAGACUCCUACGGGAGGCAGCAGUAGGGAAUAUUCGGCAAUGGGCGCAAGCCUGAUGCAGCCAUGCCGCGUGAGUGAUGAAGUCCUUCGGGUCGUAAAGCUCUGUUGUUGGGGAAGAAAAACUGCAGAUGAAACCACGCCUGUCCUGACGGUACCCAAAGAGUAAGCACCGGCUAACUUCGUG
RNAcentral lists this ribosomal RNA (492 nucleotides) under uncultured bacterium. RNAcentral describes it as "partial 16S ribosomal RNA". It matches the Rfam family "Bacterial small subunit ribosomal RNA", at positions 29 to 507 of the family's 1533-position model. The record is from RNAcentral.